AUGGUGUGUAUGGCCAGUGAAAGCAGCGUGCCCUGCAUAAUUACCGACCUCAGCAACAAGGCCAAAAAAAAGAUAGAGAAGAUAAAAAAAGAAAUAAUGCUAUAUCCAUCGAUGAAAGUCGCUGAUAUUUUUCAGCACGUUGUAAUGCAGUAUUCGUAUCUACCAGAUGACUUUUUCUUAAUAAUGAGGGGUACCGAAAAAGGACCGGUGGAAUUGGAUGAAGUAAAGGACAAAACACUACAAGAUAUUGGAGUAGAUUUUUCUGGCAAUACGAGCUAUGGAAUGUUCAUCAUGGAUGUUUUGGGAACUGCAUUGCCUACAUCUAGACCUGCGGUAACAGGCCCAGAAGCUGAAGAUGAUCUUAUGUUGGGCACUUCGGCAAGUCCUACUUCAUUGCAUCAAACUCACUAUGACUGCCCUCUAGCUGAUGUAGACACGAUGGACGAAUCCGGGGAUUUCAAAUUCCUUCAGAGAAGUGUCAGUAAACGUGAAACGAAUUACGUGGGCCUGGUUAAUCAAGCUAUGACGUGCUACCUAAAUAGUUUACUGCAAACAUUGUACAUGACUCCAGAAUUCAGAAAUGCUCUAUACAACUGGGAGUACGUUGAAAGUUCAGAAAAGGACGAAGCUAAGAGCAUGCCUUACCAAAUGCAGAAGUUAUUCCUGAAUUUGCAAACAUCGACAAAGUCAGCUAUCGAAACAACGUCAUUGACGAAAAGCUUUGGCUGGGACUCUACCGAAGCAUGGCAGCAACACGACAUUCAAGAACUGUGUCGGGUGAUGUUCGAUGCAUUAGAGCAAAAAUUUAAGAACACAGAACAAGCGGAUCUCAUCAACAGGCUGUACGAAGGGAAGAUGAUAGACUACGUAAAAUGUUUGGAGUGUGGUACUGAAAAAUCUAGGGAGGAUACUUUCCUUGACAUCCCUCUACCACUAAGGCCUUUUGGUAGCUCCGUAGCUUACAACAGUGUGGAGGAAGCCCUCAGAGCGUUUGUUCAACCAGAAACUCUCGACGGUAAUAAUCAGUACUUCUGCGAGAAAUGCAACAAAAAAUGUGACGCCCACAAGGGCUUGAAAUUCACCAAGUUCCCUUAUCUAUUGACUCUCCACCUGAAGCGUUUCGACUUCGACUACAAUACCUUCCACAGAAUCAAACUCAACGACAAGGUGACAUUUCCUGAUAUCCUGAAUUUAAACUCCUUCAUCACAUCAUCGACGAGCCUGGAGUCACCUGGAGGUGACGAAGACAUGGGCUUAGGCGUUAAAUGCGACGAUAGUUCAACCACCGAUAGUGGAACCUUAGACGACGAAUGUCCUCCUUGUGAAAAUAGCAUGUCUAACGGCAAUCACUCGAUUGGUCACGAUCAGGACGACGAUGAAGGAAUAGACAUGAGCAAUGGUGGUCCGUCCACGUCUACCUGCACCACUCACAGUUACGAAAGUGAAAAGAAUCGUGGAAAUCGCUCCGGCGGACAGGGUCCCUAUAAUUACGAGCUCUUCUCGAUCAUGAUACACAGCGGCAGCGCUAGUGGAGGUCAUUACUAUGCUUACAUUAAAGACUUCAAGACUCAAGAGUGGCUGUGCUUUAACGAUCAGAGCGUUACUUGGAUCACUCACGACGACAUUCAGAAGACUUAUGGAGGCGGGCCUGUAAGGGCGUAUUACAGCGGUGCUUAUAGCAGCAGCACCAACGCGUACAUGUUGAUGUAUCGGCAAAUCGAUCAGUGUCGUAACGCCCUGCCGAUGCAGGCAAAAGACUUCCCGAAACAUAUUCAAGAACUCCUAAAGAAGAUGAAGGACAACGAGGAGUACGACCGGAGGAAUCGAGAGAAGCAUACGACGAUGUACAAAAUGAACGUCUAUUGUCGUCACCCGCGAGAUGGUAAAAUGGUAGACGUCAAGUUCCACGUGUGGACCCACACGUGGGCUGCGGCCACGGAGAAGGCCUACAAGAAACUCGACCUGGAGGAUGUAGUCAGCCUGGACCGUUGCAGACUGGUCGCUUAUAAUCACGCCAACGAUCUGAUAGAGUGUAGUCUGGACGGUAUGGAGGACUUCAUGGUCGACGAGAUCUGCGGCAACCACUUCCGCUCCGAAUAUCUCCUCGAGAUCAGGAAGAAGGACGAGAAGUUCGAAAAGUACACGCUGGGCGGAGUCGCGACCAAGGUGUUCGUCGUGGACGUCGCCAAGAAGGAAGUGGUCGACGAGGCGAUCAGCGUGCGUGGCUUCUUCCUGCAAACGGUGAGGGAGUACAAGGAACAGGUCGGCAAGGUCGUCAACAUGGAUCCGAAGCAGAUGAAGAUGGUGCUGCUGAGAUGCUCGAGCUACCAGGCGGUGCUAAUCGACAAGGACGACAACACCCUGGAGGACGAGCACAUUCAGAAUCGCGACAAGGUGUUCGUUGCCACGGCUUUCGACGUCGAUCCCACGAAGCCCUUCCUCGAGUCGACACUUCACAAUAUUGCCAUAAACUUUAACUACGUGAUAUCGGUGCAUGUCGUUCUACCGGACACAAGUGAGGAAACCUUGAAAGACCUGAACAUACCACCGCUGGAGACGAACGAGGAGGAGGAGAGGGACAAGGAAAAGGAACCGGAUAACGAGAACGAAAAGAAGAAGGACAAGGAGCCGGAAAGCGAGGUGUUGGCCAAUUGCGGCCCCACUAAAAUAACCAUCACCGUGCCACCUAGCGCAAUCGUUAAGGCCACUUUACCUACGAAAGACGCGAAGAGUGCCGAGGAAACAGUCCCGAGGAAUCCCAGCCCACAACCCGUGGAUAACGAGGAGUGGAGGGAAUGGAUGGGACCGGAACAAAGCAACAGCGAGGACAGCAGUCUCAGCGAUAGCGACAGGACUCUUGUGGGAGAUGCUCCGGACACCGAGAAUCCUCACACAAUGGCGCUGACCCCUGAAACCAUCUUCUACAGUCCGGAGGCCUCUCAGCCCGAGGUUUUCUAUUUCAAGGCCAUCCCGUACACGGAUAACGGCCAAAAGCUGCUGAGGGUACUGGUCGACAAGAGGAUGCAGCUGAACACGUUGAAGAAGUGCCUGGAACCGUUCGUCGGGGUCUCGUCCAAGUACUUCAAGGUCUACUUUCAGUCGAACGAGUAUGACGGGUGGGAGUGCGACCACUUUAAUAGCUGCAUAGCCUUCUGCGAGGACGCGGAAAGGAUCCUCCUGAAGCUCGGCAAGCCGCUGCGAAACGGAGACUUCAAAGUCGAUAUCUACCAAUUGUUCGUCGACAGACUCGAGCCGUUCAAAUUCCUUUACGAAUGGAUCGGCUCGAAGGAAACGACCGGGGCUCAGGCGAAGAAGGAAAUCCUGGCCGAUCUGAAGAAACAGUUCAACAUAGAUAUACCUUACGAGAGGUGUCGACUGAGAAAGAAGAAGAACAAGACGAUGUCGCAGGUCUUCCUGGCCGAUCAGAAGCUCGAGGACCUGAUGAACCUCACGUAUCCGCCGAGCGACUUGGUCGUGCAGGAACUACCCGACGUGGACACCGUCACCAGCCCCGAACAGAUAGUCAUGUUCGUGCGGAGGUGGUCGUACUGGAAGACGCAGCUUGGCCCGUACCAGGAGAUCGUCCUGGAAGAGAAGUCCAUAGAGAGUCUGAAGGAGGCGAUGUCCGCGAUAACGGAUAUACCGCCCCAGUACCUCGAGAUCGCGAAGGCGAAGAGGUCAUUGCCCUGCAUAAUCGCUACGAGGAAGAUACACGAGGCCCUCCCGUGGUAUCUACAGAGCACGGUGAAGAAACUGUGGCUCAUGCACCUGGAGAACGGUUACGUCCUGUUUUACAGGGAUUCCAGGGAAGAGCCGAAGCCAAUCAGCGUCGACGACCUGACGGAGAUCGGCAACAAGGAGGGCUCUUCUUGCCUGACCCUGUCCUCGCUCUCCGGGUACAGCCCACGGCGGGAGAAGGCCCUGAAGAUACACCUCGACACCAAAUGAUUCGGUCACCUAGAUCCGAUUAGCUUGGAACCACCCUGCCGAUAAGCAGCCGUAACGUUCACUUAGCACGAAUCGCUUGUCAGUCGGCUGCGCUUUCCCCUCUGUCACCCCCGGCGCCAUUAUCCCGUUUCUCUCAUCCGAGCGUCGAAGGAGGAAGGGGAAAAAGGAAGACGCCCAAGAGGCCGGAGGCGAAGGCACACCCCGAAGAACCAACAGCGAAGGGCUACAUGACCAAAGAGGCAUUCAAGGUUUCCUGGCUGGAAGGCUCGACCGGAAUCACGCCUUGGAUACGCGGCUCUAGGAUUAAGUGCGAGGCAAUUUCGAGAUGGGCCCUUCGGUGUUCGACGUCGCGCUCCCCGAUCGGUCCCUCGGCCGAGGGUGCGGUUCGUGCAGGCGGUCCGGCGAUGCCACGGUGUAAAUUCGCGGGAAAGAAAAAGAAAAAAAAAAAUAUAUCGAAAACCUAGGAAAAUUUAUUCGAUAUCCUUGCACGGUAUCGCACCCGCGGAACGUAUCCGUUUCACGUAUCGUAACCCAUUGAAAAACCCCACCCGUCCCGAACGGCCGUUCCUCGAGUAGGGACGCGACGGGUCGAAUAUCUCGACUAGUUAGCGCACCUGUCGGUACGAAUAAAAUGCGAAUUACUGUAGCAAGUGCGAGAAUGUCUUAUAUACUCGUACCGAGGUAUCAGCCGCGCGUUACUCGUCCACUCUAGGCGUUACUCGAGUCGCUUAACUCGCCACCUCGCCGCAGACUUUGCUCUUGUAUAAGAACCUAUUCUUUAUUUCUUUCGGCGAUUCCUCGUCUCGCGUCCAGACUCGGAUUCGCGUUUUUUCAUCCGAGUUAGGGCUAUGUCAAGGCACUCGACUCGUCGCGUCGCUAUUAAGGAACGCCGCGCCGUUUCAAAUCGUGUUUUUCGCAGAGCUGGACAGAAUCUCUCUUCGGAUGUAUUAACCUGGUGUCCCGCGGUUUCGCCCAGCUCUGCCUCCAUGUCAAUCCCCCGUGUCCCUCCGGUUUUCUCGCAGGAAUUCUCCCGAGAUAAUGGCUUCUUUAACCGGCCGAGGUACCGCCGACUCGCUGUGCUCAUUACGUGCCUCGAAACCUCGGAAACGGGCGCCGUUACAUUUAGAACGGGUCUGGCCCUUGCAUUUAUAUUACAUCGGCUAUUCGACUCGGCAUUUCUUAUUGAUUCCAUUUAAUCGAGAGCGCGGAAACGGGAGGGUUUAACGGAAAUUAUCGGACCCUCGUGUUGAAUGUAGUUUUACAACGGAAGUCGCCACGCGAGAUCCUCCUGCGAGAAGCGAACCCCCUCGGAUCCUCGGUUCUUCUUUCCUUUCCGGUUUUUCUAGUGACCCCCUUAUGCGCGAUCCGCAAUAAACUUACCCUAUUAUUAUUAUUAUUAUUAUUAUUAUUAUUAUUACUACUAUUGUCAUUAUCAUUAUUAUAUAUCGUAUUUGUACAUUAUAUUUAUUGCACGUUUGUUAUACGAAGGCCGAAGCCUGGAUCGAAUGCCGGCCUUCCCUAGGUUGAUUCGAUUUCCUCGUGGGAAUGUUUUAAGGCUGCAGGUCCACAUUGUGCUCGAAUUGGCCCUUUUGGAUGCGUUUACUUAUUGCUGUUUUCUUUUACUUAAUCGCUGAAAGUUUAAGGAGGGAAAUCCAAUUGGAAGCCGAUGGUUGGUCGCGAAACGGUGGUCGCUCGCUACGAACACCGGCUUUCCGUGACUAGCGUUUACACAAUGUCGACGAGCCAAUUCUCCCUUUCUUUCUCCCCUCUUUCUCUCUUACCUUUCUAUGUUUAUCUAUCUCCCCCCCCCCCUCUGUCUCUCUCUCUCUCUCUCUGUAUCAUACACUGUAGUUAUGAAACAAAUUAUAUUUAUAAUAAUUAACAACGGAAUUAUUGGACUGAUGGAA
Molecule: unclassified non-coding RNA, 5855 nt
Filed under: Orussus abietinus
Lineage: Eukaryota; Metazoa; Arthropoda; Insecta; Hymenoptera; Orussidae
Description: ubiquitin carboxyl-terminal hydrolase 47, transcript variant X1
Source: RNAcentral